AUGAAGGAGGACAAAGAAACAAUAGCAACAUGGUCCAGGGAAUCUAGCGUUCCAAUCACAAUGGUGGGCCAUACAGUCGCGACUCAUAAUGGAAAAGAACAUAUACCUAUUUACGUAACAAAUCCUAUGAUAGGUCGCAAAUUGAGGGGAUUCGUGCCUACUCGGCAUUUCGCGAGUUAUGGAUGCAAGAAAUUAUACUAA
RNAcentral lists this ribosomal RNA (201 nucleotides) under Triticum aestivum (bread wheat). RNAcentral describes it as "partial small subunit ribosomal RNA". Lineage: Eukaryota; Viridiplantae; Streptophyta; Magnoliopsida; Poales; Poaceae. The record is from RNAcentral.